GACGAACGCUGGCGACGCGCUUAACACAUGCAAGUCGAACGGAAAGGCCUGCUUUCCCUUGUGGAUUGCGGGUACUCGAGUGGCGAACGGGUGAGUAACACGUGAGUGAUCUGCCCCCAACUUGGGUAUAAGCCUGGGAAACUGGGUCUAAUUCCCGAUAGGACUGCAGGGUGGUGCCUGUGGUGGAAAACGAUUUUCUAGUGGUUGGGGAUGAGCUCGCGGCCUAUCAGCUUGUUGGUGGGGUAAUGGCCUACCAAGGCGGCGACGGGUAGCCGGCCUGGGAGGGUGGACGGCCACAUUGGGACUGGGAUACGGCCCAGACUCCUACGGGAGGCAGCAGUGGGGAAUAGUGCACAAUGGGCGGAAGCGUGAUGCAGCGACGCCGCGUGGGGGAUGACGGGCUUCGGGUUGUAAACUCCUUGCGACCGCGAGGAAGCCACCUGGUUGGAAGGGUGGUGACGGUAGUGGUAGAAGAAGCACCGGCUAACUACGUG
RNAcentral lists this ribosomal RNA (494 nucleotides) under uncultured bacterium. Its description in RNAcentral is "partial 16S ribosomal RNA". It matches the Rfam family "Bacterial small subunit ribosomal RNA", at positions 28 to 507 of the family's 1533-position model. The record is from RNAcentral.